GACGAACGCUGGCGGCGUGCUUAACACAUGCAAGUCGAACGGAAAGGCCCUGCUUUUGUUGGUUGCUCGAUUGGCGCACGCGUGAGUAACACGUGAGUAACCUCCCCUUGUCUUUGUGAUAACUUCAGGAAACUGGGGCUCAUACCCGAUAUGAUCUCCUGCUGCAUGGUGGUGGUUGGAAAGUUUCGGCGGUUGGGGAUGGAUUCGCGGCUUAUGCGCUUGUUGGUGUGGUAGUGGCUUACCAAGGCUUUGACGGGUAGCCGGCCUGAGAGCGUGACCGGCCACAUUGGGACUGAGAGACGGAGCAGAAUCCUACGGGAGGCAGCAGGGGGGAAUAUUGCAGAAUGGGCGGAAGCCUGAUGCAGCAACGCCGCGUGCGGGAUGACGGCCUUCGGGUUGUAAACCGCUUUCGCAGGUGACGAAGCGUGAGUGACGGUAAUGGGUAAAGAAGCACCGGCUAACUACGUG
RNAcentral lists this ribosomal RNA (468 nucleotides) under uncultured bacterium. RNAcentral describes it as "partial 16S ribosomal RNA". It matches the Rfam family "Bacterial small subunit ribosomal RNA", at positions 28 to 507 of the family's 1533-position model. The record is from RNAcentral.